RNAcentral lists this long non-coding RNA (1844 nucleotides) under Nicotiana benthamiana. RNAcentral's name for it is "long non-coding RNA (NBEN_LNC018195)". Lineage: Eukaryota; Viridiplantae; Streptophyta; Magnoliopsida; Solanales; Solanaceae. The record is from RNAcentral.
GUCCCUAACCCUUCUCUUAUCACAAACCCUAACACCGACGUCUCUCCACCGCAAACUGCAGGCCAGAAAUCGCCUCCGUCGGUGGCGAUCACCCAAAGGCCACCAAAUUUACACCACUUGACCGCCUUCCCCUCCUCUAUCCAAAUCCAUGCAUGGUUUCCCUCGAAUCACCUCCCAUCGUCUUGAAUAUUAGCAAGAAGAUUUGACUCCGCCACCAUGCACGGCGUCACCGCUUCCUUUCAACCCCAAAAUUACACUGUUGAACCCUCUAUUCUUCCUCAUGCCAAAUCCACACUCAACACCCUUCAAACACCCCUAAAUCUUCUGGAAUGUUAAUUCAAAAGGGUCUGCCAAACCUCACCACCCCUAAAAUUGUCCAAAACCCACACCUUAUAACCCUUACCACCCCCUCUCCACUGGUCAGUGGUUAUUUGUUCUCAAAAAAGCCCAAAGCUGGUCGAAUUCUAGGGUUCGAGACUCAGAUCCUGCUACAUGCCUUUGAUAAGCUAAGUUCUCUGUUUAUUUUCUAAUAUCUCUUUUCCUCAUCUCAUUUCUGUCGAUUUGGUUAACUUCACGGCCAGACUAGGUUUAGUUUAAUCUAAUUAAAUUGCAUUAGUCAUUUUACUCUAAUUGUUUUGAAGGUCAUCAGUUCAAUUAUGUUUAAUCUUCAUGAUUUCAGUCAAGUUAUUGAGUCUUGCUUGAAUUCCAUUUCUUUUAAUUCCUGAGUUUGGUUGAGUUGUAGUAGGUCUUUUGUUGAGUUGGAUUUCAUGAUUAAGUUCCAGAGUUUGAAUUAGGUUUUGUGCAUAUUAGUCAAAUGGUGUCAGUCUUAUUUGGAUAAUAACUGAGUUGAAUAUUCAAUUUGUGUUAAUUGAAUUUUACUCGUUCAAUCAGUUCGGAUUGUAUUGAUCUCAUCUGUUGCAUGACUUCUAUGUGUAAUUCUUGGGUUUAAAUGAGGUCCAGUAAUUUACUAUUAGGUUUGUUAAUUAUCCAUUAGGUAAUCCUACAGUUUUGAUUUUCUGCAUAGUUUUAAGAAAUAUUUGAUCUGUUUGGAAUUAAGGGUAGUUAGGGUAUUUGAUUAAGGGCAACUGAAAAGGAAGCCUCUAGUAGGGGCUUCAUUUUAAUUUUGAUGUAAACGCUUGGUCCAUAAGUCGAAAAAUAGAGGACUCAAUUGCAAUUUUAAAAUCUAUAGGUUGCCCUACUUGCCUUGUAUAUAAAGGCACCAUUCUUGCCUUAGAAGGCAGAGAUAUUUUAAUAAUAAAAAGCUCAUAAAAACUCAUACGGCUAAAAAGACUCGAAAAAGUCCUAAAAAAAAAACACAUUGUUUCAUUGCUUUCUCUUUUGAUUUUGGAGUUCAACCCGAUUCAAAGCUGGUUUUCCCUGUUGUUCCUGAGCUGAUUUUAUUACUGCCUCUGUUCUACUGCUAGAUCAUCAAUUUCUGUUCGUUUUCAAAUCCAGGUACAUAUUUCAUCUCCCAAUGUAUGAUGAUAGAUGAACAUGAAGAUUGACCUAUUCAAGUAGAAAUUGGUGGCUGAGCAAGGGUUUAAACAAUGUAUUUGUACCUUUGAGCUAGUUGAUUUGUGUAUUCAAUUUGGUUUUCGAUAUGUCUAGACACUGAGUUUUUAUACCUGAUGUUUGAUCCCUUAUGAUGUCUUGAAAAUGCUGAGUAAUAGGUUAGUAUAGAUAUUGGGUGUUAAGGACAUGAAUGCUAUUUGGAUAUUGGACCCUCUGUGUGUUGCUGCUAUAGUAGAUGUUGAACUCCAUUUACCAUUUUCAGAUUUUUAUUUGUAAUUCACUAUCUAUUAGGUAUGUAGACUUCAUUUUGAUAUGAAUUUGGAACAAACUCU